CUUAUCCAGAGUGGUGGAGGGACUGGCCCUAUGAAGCCCGGCAACCUGUUUUUACAAGGUGCUAAUUCCAGCGAUUAUUCGGAAGAUAAGA
This 91-nucleotide non-coding RNA is filed under the name uncultured Parvimonas sp. RNAcentral describes it as "SAM riboswitch (S box leader)". It matches the Rfam family "SAM riboswitch aptamer (S box leader)". Rfam says of the family: The SAM riboswitch is found upstream of a number of genes which code for proteins involved in methionine or cysteine biosynthesis in Gram-positive bacteria. The SAM riboswitch acts at the level of transcription termination control. Lineage: Bacteria; Bacillati; Bacillota; Tissierellia; Tissierellales; Peptoniphilaceae. The record is from RNAcentral.